Molecule: unclassified non-coding RNA, 267 nt
Filed under: uncultured fungus
Lineage: Eukaryota; Fungi
Description: sequence contains ITS1, 5.8S rRNA gene
Rfam family: 5.8S ribosomal RNA (bases 219-267)
Source: RNAcentral
UUUCCGUAGGUGAACCUGUGGAAGGAUCAUUAGCGAAGUCAAGUCCGGACCCGUUGGGGAUUGCAGCUGGCCUAACGGCAUGUGCUCGUCCCUUGGGUACGUGACCUUCACUACCACACCCCACUGUGAACCAAGCGGGAGGUCGAAAGGCCUCUUGCAUCUUAUACAAACCCCAAUCGCAUGUAUUAGAAUGUCAUGGCGUUAACACGCAACUAUACAACUUUCAACAACGGAUCUCUUGGCUCUCGCAUCGAUGAAGAACGCAGC